RNAcentral lists this ribosomal RNA (473 nucleotides) under uncultured bacterium. Its description in RNAcentral is "partial 16S ribosomal RNA". The stretch from base 20 to 303 matches the Rfam family "Bacterial small subunit ribosomal RNA", at positions 47 to 358 of the family's 1533-position model. The record is from RNAcentral.
AACGAACGCUGGCGGCAGGCCUAACACAUGCAAGUCGAGCGAGGACUUCGGUCCUAGCGGCGGACGGGUGAGUAACGCGUGGGAACGUGCCCUUUGCUUCGGAAUAGCCCUGGGAAACUGGGAGUAAUACCGGAUGAGCCCUUUGGGGGAAAGAUUUAUCGGCGAAGGAUCGGCCCGCGUUGGAUUAGGUAGUUGGUGGGGUAAUGGCCUACCAAGCCGACGAUCCAUAGCUGGUUUGAGAGGAUGAUCAGCCACACUGGGACUGAGACACGGCCCAGACGCAGAGGGGAGGGGGGAAGAGGGAGACGUACGGGAGGGGGGGAGAACGGAGCAGAACGGGCGGAGGGAGGAAGGAGGGCGUUAGGGUUGUAAAGAGCGAUAAUAGGGGAAGAAAAUGACGGCACGAGCAGAGGAGGCACCGGGUGGCUAGGGGGGAGAAGCGAGGGGAAGAAUCAAAAAGCCCGCGUGUAAGC